GCGCUCCCCGCACACGUACACACACACACUCACGGGACUUCUCCGGCUCAUCGAGGGAGUGCAGGGCCCGCGGACAGCCCCCAAUGUCGGCUCAGGUCUCCGGCUGUGCUGGCGGCAGCGGCGUCUCCGAGGCUCUCGCUUUGCCGCAGUCGCCGCCAUGUAACCCCGACCCGCGGAGAGAGGGCGAGGGAGAGGGGGCGGGGUAUCCAUGAGCCACGCCCCCUCGCGUCACAGGCUCACUCCACGGGUUCCCCCGCCCCCGCUCAGCCCCCAGCUCUUUCACGCGCCGGAAUUUCCAACGCUGGUGGCUGGGUUCCGCGCGCUGCGGGGGCGGCGGGAAGGGCACGCGGUCUCUCGUAAGACGCCUCAGGUGGGCUGGGCCGGAGGCUGGCUGGAAGGUGGGCAGACGGGCCUUCUGUCCUCUGCCCUUGCCACGUCUCUACAGCACAAACUGAUCAAACUCCUUGCUACUGUUUAUUGCGUACCAACGACGGGCCAUCCACUGGGCCAUCCAAGAGGAGUGAGCCUUCGCCCCUGUGCUUAGGAAUGGGCCUGAAGAUGGGUUGGCUAGAAGGCAGCAGCCAGAGUACGAAGCCAGCGCAGUUAGCGGCCGAAAGCUAAGAAGGUCAUUAAUUCCACCUUCGGGUGUGGAGGAGGGCUUCUAAGUGAGGUCGCCACCGGUGACCUUUCAGCUGGAUCCGAAGAAGCAGAUAUAACCAGAGGAGGAAGACCUGAAGAAUGCAGUGUCUACCAAAGCAAAGAAGAAUGUGUGGGUCAACAGCACCAGAAGCACUGUGAAGUCUAGUGGUGGCUUACUUUUGAAGGCUGGACUUAUGUUACCCCAGGAGGAGAGGCUCAUGAGAAACCUGGAGAAGCUGUUCUUCAACCAAAAUGAAGUGGAUCCAAGAACAGCACAGAGAACGAACAUGGAGAUGAGUCUUCCUUUGCAAGACUUCUUGUCCUGGCUCCCUGGAGGAUUGCCAGCAGGCAGCCGUCUGUUACCAACUCCUGCGGAGAGCUGCCUCAUCAAAGCUCAUGCCCUUUGGGGCCAGGCCAUGCCCAGUGCCUUAUCCGGGUAAAACCCAGCUCUUUCAGCCUGAUUUGGGACAGUAACAAAGGGCCAUUUUAACUCCAUUGCUCCUCCUGGGGUUAAUUAAGGCUACUGGGCCUUCCUUACACGCAGUUUGCUUUUUCCUUCUGUCUAAGCCUGU
Suricata suricatta (meerkat) is the source of this 1211-nucleotide long non-coding RNA. RefSeq lists it as uncharacterized. The record is from RefSeq and is a predicted model, not a curated record. The transcript is spliced from 3 exons. NCBI's taxonomy places the organism in Eukaryota, Metazoa, Chordata, Mammalia, Carnivora, Herpestidae.